Molecule: ribosomal RNA, 1445 nt
Filed under: uncultured organism
Description: SSU rRNA
Rfam family: Bacterial small subunit ribosomal RNA
Source: RNAcentral
CUACAGGCUUAACACAUGCAAGUCGAGGGGCAGCAUGGUCUUAGCUUGCUAAGGCCGAUGGCGACCGGCGCACGGGUGAGUAACACGUAUCCAACCUGCCGUCUACUCUUGGACAGCCUUCUGAAAGGAAGAUUAAUACAAGAUGGCAUCAUGAGUCCGCAUGUUCACAUGAUUAAAGGUAUUCCGGUAGACGAUGGGGAUGCGUUCCAUUAGAUAGUAGGCGGGGCAACGGCCCACCUAGUCUUCGAUGGAUAGGGGUUCUGAGAGGAAGGUCCCCCACAUUGGAACUGAGACACGGUCCAAACUCCUACGGGAGGCAGCAGUGAGGAAUAUUGGUCAAUGGGCGAGAGCCUGAACCAGCCAAGUAGCGUGAAGGAUGACUGCCCUAUGGGUUGUAAACUUCUUUUAUAAAGGAAUAAAGUCGGGUAUGGAUACCCGUUUGCAUGUACUUUAUGAAUAAGGAUCGGCUAACUCCGUGCCAGCAGCCGCGGUAAUACGGAGGAUCCGAGCGUUAUCCGGAUUUAUUGGGUUUAAAGGGAGCGUAGAUGGAUGUUUAAGUCAGUUGUGAAAGUUUGCGGCUCAACCGUAAAAUUGCAGUUGAUACUGGAUAUCUUGAGUGCAGUUGAGGCAGGCGGAAUUCGUGGUGUAGCGGUGAAAUGCUUAGAUAUCACGAAGAACUCCGAUUGCGAAGGCAGCCUGCUAAGCUGCAACUGACAUUGAGGCUCGAAAGUGUGGGUAUCAAACAGGAUUAGAUACCCUGGUAGUCCACACGGUAAACGAUGAAUACUCGCUGUUUGCGAUAUACUGCAAGCGGCCAAGCGAAAGCGUUAAGUAUUCCACCUGGGGAGUACGCCGGCAACGGUGAGACUCAAAGGAAUUGACGGGGGCCCGCACAAGCGGAGGAACAUGUGGUUUAAUUCGAUGAUACGCGAGGAACCUUACCCGGGCUUAAAUUGCAGAUGAAUUACGGUGAAAGCCGUAAGCCGCAAGGCAUCUGUGAAGGUGCUGCAUGGUUGUCGUCAGCUCGUGCCGUGAGGUGUCGGCUUAAGUGCCAUAACGAGCGCAACCCUUGUUGUCAGUUACUAACAGGUUCCGCUGAGGACUCUGACAAGACUGCCAUCGUAAGAUGUGAGGAAGGUGGGGAUGACGUCAAAUCAGCAUGGCCCUUACGUCCGGGGCUACACACGUGUUACAAUGGGGGGUACAGAGGGCCGCUACCACGCGAGUGGAUGCCAAUCCCCAAAACCUCUCUCAGUUCGGACUGGAGUCUGCAACCCGACUCCACGAAGCUGGAUUCGCUAGUAAUCGCGCAUCAGCCACGGCGCGGUGAAUACGUUCCCGGGCCUUGUACACACCGCCCGUCAAGCCAUGGGAGCCGGGGGUACCUGAAGUGCGUAACCGCGAGGAGCGCCCUAGGGUAAAACUGGUGACUGGGGCUAAGUCAU